GCCGCGGUAGCUCAUGUAGUAGAGCGCAUCUCUGAAAAAGAUGAGGUAGUCAGUGCAACUCUGACCCGCGGCACAA
Molecule: transfer RNA, 76 nt
Filed under: Candidatus Tagabacteria bacterium CG03_land_8_20_14_0_80_41_22
Lineage: Bacteria; Candidatus Tagaibacteriota
Also listed under: 1 other name
Description: tRNA-Phe
Rfam family: tRNA
About the family: Transfer RNA (tRNA) molecules are approximately 80 nucleotides in length.
Source: RNAcentral